UAGAAAGUUUGUCUAUCCAAGACA
RNAcentral lists this transfer RNA (24 nucleotides) under Ptilinopus melanospilus (black-naped fruit-dove). RNAcentral describes it as "partial tRNA-Arg". The record is from RNAcentral. Lineage: Eukaryota; Metazoa; Chordata; Aves; Columbiformes; Columbidae.